This 936-nucleotide ribosomal RNA is filed under the name Klebsiella planticola. RNAcentral's name for it is "bacterial SSU rRNA". It matches the Rfam family "Bacterial small subunit ribosomal RNA", at positions 60 to 1030 of the family's 1533-position model. Lineage: Bacteria; Pseudomonadati; Pseudomonadota; Gammaproteobacteria; Enterobacterales; Enterobacteriaceae. The record is from RNAcentral.
AGUCGAGCGGUAGCACAGAGAGCUUGCUCUCGGGUGACGAGCGGCGGACGGGUGAGAAUGUCUGGGAAACUGCCUGAUGGAGGGGGAUAACUACUGGAAACGGUAGCUAAUACCGCAUAACGUCGCAAGACCAAGUGGGGGACCUUCGGGCCUCAUGCCAUCAUGUGCCCAGAUGGGAUUAGCUAGUAGGUGGGGAAUGGCUCACCUAGCACAUCCCUAGCUGGUCUGAAGGAUGACCAGCCACACUGGAACUGAGACACGGUCCAACUCCUACGGGAGGCAGCAGUGGGGAAUAUUGCACAAUGGGCGCAAGCCUGAUGCACCAUGCCGCGUGUAUGAAGAAGGCCUUCGGGUUGUAAAGUACUUUCAGCGAGGAGGAAGGCUUAAGGUUAAUAACCUUGGAUUGACGUUACUCCAAAAAGCACCGGCUAACUCCGUGCCAGCAGCCGCGGUAAUACGGAGGGUGCAAGCGUUAAUCGGAAUUACUGGGCGUAAAGCGCACGCAGGCGGUUUGUUAAGUCAUGUGAAAUCCCCGGGCUCAACCUGGGAACUGCAUUUGAAACUGGCAAGCUUGAGUCUUGUAGAGGGGGGUAGAAUUCCAGGUGUAGCGGUGAAAUGCGUAAGAUCUGGAGGAAUACCGGUGGCGAAGCGGCCCCCUGGACAAAGACUGACGCUCAUGCGAAAGCGUGGGGAGCAAACAGGAUUAAUACCCUGGUAGUCCACGCUGUAAACGAUGUCACUUGGAGGUUGUUCCCUUGAGGAGUGCUUCCGGAGCUAACGCGUUAAGUCACCGCCUGGGAGUACGGCCGCAGGUAAACUCAAAUGAAUUGACGGCCCGCACAGCGGUGGAGCAUGUGGUUUAAUUCGAUGCACCGAAAACCUUACCUACUCUUGACUCCAAGAACUUACAAGAUGCUUUGGGCCUUCAGGACCUGA